GAUGAACGCUGGCGGCGUGCCUAAUACAUGCAAGUCGAGCGAACAGACGAGGAGCUUGCUCCUCUGACGUUAGCGGCGGACGGGUGAGUAACACGUGGAUAACCUACCUAUAAGACUGGUAUAACUUCGGGAAACCGGAUCUAAUACCGGAUAAUAUAUUGAACCGCAUGGUUCAAUAGUGAAAGACGGUUUUGCUGUCACUUAUAGAUGGAUCCGCGCUGCAUUAGCUAGUUGGUAAGGUCACGGCUUACCAAGGCAACGAUGCGUAGCCGAAGUGAGAGAGUGAUAGGCCACACUGGAACGGGGACACGGACCAGACUCCUACGGGAGGCAGCAGUAGGGAAUCUUCGGCAAUGGGCGAGAGCCUGACGGAGCAACGCCGAGUGAGUGAUGAAGGUCUUCGGAUCGGAAAACUCUGUUAUUAGGUAAGAACAAAUGUGUAAGUAACUGUGCACGUCGUGACGGUACCUAAUCAGAAAGCCACGGCUAACUACGUG
This 497-nucleotide ribosomal RNA is filed under the name uncultured bacterium. RNAcentral describes it as "partial 16S ribosomal RNA". It matches the Rfam family "Bacterial small subunit ribosomal RNA", at positions 28 to 507 of the family's 1533-position model. The record is from RNAcentral.